UAGGGAAUUUUGGACAAUGGGCGAAAGCUUGAUCCAGCAAUGCCGCGUGUGUGAAGAAGGCCUUCGGGUUGUAAAGCACUUUUGUCCGGAAAGAAAUCCUUGGCUCUAAUACAGUCGGGGGAUGACGGUACCGGAAGAAUAAGCACCGGCUAACUACGUGCCAGCAGCCGCGGUAAUACGUAGGGUGCAAGCGUUAAUCGGAAUUACUGGGCGUAAAGCGUGCGCAGGCGGUUUGCUAAGACCGAUGUGAAAUCCCCGGGCUCAACCUGGGAACUGCAUUGGUGACUGGCAGGCUAGAGUAUGGCAGAGGGGGGUAGAAUUCCACGUGUAGCAGUGAAAUGCGUAGAGAUGUGGAGGAAUACCGAUGGCGAAGGCAGCCCCCUGGGCCAAUACUGACGCUCAUGCACGAAAGCGUGGGGAGCAAACAGGAUUAGAUACCCUGGUAGUCCACGCCCUAAACGAUGUCAACUAGUUGUUGGGGAUUCAUUUCCUUAGUAACGUAGCUAACGCGUGAAGUUGACCGCCUGGGGAGUACGGUCGCAAGAUUAAAACUUAAAGGAAUUGACGGGAUC
Molecule: ribosomal RNA, 572 nt
Filed under: uncultured bacterium
Lineage: Bacteria
Description: partial 16S ribosomal RNA
Rfam family: Bacterial small subunit ribosomal RNA
Source: RNAcentral